GAUAAACGCUGGCGGCGUGCAUGAGACAUGCAAGUCGAACGGACGAUCGAGCUUGCUCGAUCGUUAGUGGCGGACGGCUGAGUAACGCGUAGGUGACCUGCCCCGAAGUGGGGAAUAACUGCCCGAAAGGGUGGCUAAUACCGCAUGUGGUCGCACGUUCGGUUCGUGCGAGUAAAGCCGCAAGGCGCUUCGGGAGGGGCCUGCGUCCGAUUAGCUCGUUGGUGGGGUAAUGGCUCACCAAGGCGACGAUCGGUAGGUGGUCUGAGAGGACGAUCACCCAGACUGGGACUGAGACACGGCCCAGACUCCUACGGGAGGCAGCAGUCGGGAAUUUUGCUCAAUGGGCGCAAGCCUGAAGCAGCAACGCCGCGUGGGGGAUGAAGGCCUUCGGGUCGUAAACCCCUUUUGCCGAGGACGAUAAUGACGGUACUCGGUGAAUAAGCCACGGCUAACUACGUGCCAGCAGCCGCGGUAACAC
RNAcentral lists this ribosomal RNA (478 nucleotides) under uncultured bacterium. RNAcentral's name for it is "bacterial SSU rRNA". It matches the Rfam family "Bacterial small subunit ribosomal RNA", at positions 28 to 526 of the family's 1533-position model. The record is from RNAcentral.